Molecule: ribosomal RNA, 847 nt
Filed under: Pseudomonas migulae
Lineage: Bacteria; Pseudomonadati; Pseudomonadota; Gammaproteobacteria; Pseudomonadales; Pseudomonadaceae
Description: bacterial SSU rRNA
Rfam family: Bacterial small subunit ribosomal RNA
Source: RNAcentral
UAGAGAGAAGCUUGCUUCUCUUGAGAGCGGCGGACGGGUGAGUAAUGCCUAGGAAUCUGCCUGGUAGUGGGGGAUAACGCUCGGAAACGGACGCUAAUACCGCAUACGUCCUACGGGAGAAAGCAGGGGACCUUCGGGCCUUGCGCUAUCAGAUGAGCCUAGGUCGGAUUAGCUAGUUGGUGAGGUAAUGGCUCACCAAGGCGACGAUCCGUAACUGGUCUGAGAGGAUGAUCAGUCACACUGGAACUGAGACACGGUCCAGACUCCUACGGGAGGCAGCAGUGGGGAAUAUUGGACAAUGGGCGAAAGCCUGAUCCAGCCAUGCCGCGUGUGUGAAGAAGGUCUUCGGAUUGUAAAGCACUUUAAGUUGGGAGGAAGGGCAUUAACCUAAUACGUUGGUGUCUUGACGUUACCGACAGAAUAAGCACCGGCUAACUCUGUGCCAGCAGCCGCGGUAAUACAGAGGGUGCAAGCGUUAAUCGGAAUUACUGGGCGUAAAGCGCGCGUAGGUGGUUCGUUAAGUUGGAUGUGAAAUCCCCGGGCUCAACCUGGGAACUGCAUUCAAAACUGACGAGCUAGAGUAUGGUAGAGGGUGGUGGAAUUUCCUGUGUAGCGGUGAAAUGCGUAGAUAUAGGAAGGAACACCAGUGGCGAAGGCGACCACCUGGACUGAUACUGACACUGAGGUGCGAAAGCGUGGGGAGCAAACAGGAUUAGAUACCCUGGUAGUCCACGCCGUAAACGAUGUCAACUAGCCGUUGGGAGCCUUGAGCUCUUAGUGGCGCAGCUAACGCAUUAAGUUGACCGCCUGGGGAGUACGGCCGCAAGGUUAAAACUCAAAUGAAUUG